This 414-nucleotide transfer RNA is filed under the name Salmonella enterica subsp. enterica serovar Typhimurium str. DT2. RNAcentral describes it as "transfer RNA-Leu". Lineage: Bacteria; Pseudomonadati; Pseudomonadota; Gammaproteobacteria; Enterobacterales; Enterobacteriaceae. The record is from RNAcentral.
GCCGUUCCACGACGGAAUGCAAACCAGCCUCGAUGCGGCGCAAACGCUCAUUCGCGGCGCAGUGCGCCAUCUGAACAGCGGCGGAGAGUUACGCAUCGUGGCGAACGCCUUUCUGCCCUAUCCUAAGAUUCUGGAUGAGACUUUUGGCUUCCAUGAAGUCAUCGCGCAAACCGGGCGCUUUAAGGUUUAUCGUACCGUGAUGACCCGUCAGGCGAAGAAAUAGUUGGCCUGAUAAGCGCAGCGCCAUCUGGUUGCAUGUGCCGGAUGGCGACGCAAAGCGUCUUAUCCAACCUACGUCUCGCGUCCAUUUUUGCAGCAAUCAAUCUAUCCCAUGCAAUUAACUAUUGACGAAUAGCUGAAAACCACUAGAAUGCGCCUCCGUGGUAGUGAUUCUUUUCAAGAAUCGAUGGUAUG